GGACAGUUGUUAUGAUCUUAGACAUUAUAGAGUGCCCUGAGUAUGAUGAUGUGGGAAAACACCCUGGCAUAAUUGUGAUGUGGCCAUCCGUGCUGUUCCUGUUCCUUCUGCUAGGAUGUUUUAUUUUUAAUUUUGUGAAAGCAGUGAGAAAUUCAUUUGUAAAGGAGCAAAAUG
Molecule: non-coding RNA, 174 nt
Organism: Thamnophis sirtalis
Lineage: Eukaryota; Metazoa; Chordata; Lepidosauria; Squamata; Natricidae
Source: RefSeq, a predicted model, not a curated record